Molecule: long non-coding RNA, 666 nt
Organism: Salvelinus namaycush (lake trout)
Lineage: Eukaryota; Metazoa; Chordata; Actinopteri; Salmoniformes; Salmonidae
Exons: 5
Source: RefSeq, a predicted model, not a curated record
GCAGAAAUUGCCCUCAAUCACAGAUCUAGGAUCAGCUGACUCUGUACUCAGUUCAACUGUAACUAGUAGGCUGGAUGUUAAAAUGUUAAACGGACCUCAACCCUGCUAGUGCACACGGUUUCAGCUCAGUCUUAACUGGCUCUCCCCCUCUGCUUACAACACAGCCAUGCAGAUAUGCUGUUGUGUUUUGUCUCAGAGGCUUGGUACAGUUUGUUCUGAUUGAGGGAAAGCUCAAGGUUUGGACUCCUGGGAAUUGGGUUUAUGGUGCAAAAGAAACGGUUGCAGAUAACGCUUCUGUCCAGCAUUGAUGACAUCAGAGAGGGACUUUGGGUCGGAGCUGCUGGCGUCAUCAUCCGCUCACUGUCAUACUCAGAGAAGAGGAGGUGCAGUCAGGAUCCAUAUCAGCGUUGCACAGGCUGUGUUUACCUGUAAACCUCUGGCCUGGUGGAAGGUGACACGUCGGAGAGCCAGAGAGCACGCGGGACAGCAUGAUGAGCAACGACAGAGAGAGGCAUGAUCAGAGAGCUGUUUGAGACUCAGAAAUCGAAAGUGGUUCUAUCUCUAUGCGCUGUGUGAACCGAUGGCAGAGAAUAAUGUCGACCAAUAACAUCUCCCAGGCCAGGAAGCUGGCGGAGCAGCUCCGCAUCGAGGCGCGGAUCGAACGCA